UGGAAAGAAGAGGAUUCUAACCUCUGUUUGUGGGGUUACAGGCCACCGCUUAAAACUCAGCCAUCUUACC
This 70-nucleotide transfer RNA is filed under the name Thyrsites atun (snoek). RNAcentral's name for it is "tRNA-Tyr". The record is from RNAcentral. Lineage: Eukaryota; Metazoa; Chordata; Actinopteri; Scombriformes; Gempylidae.